UCCCUAGUGGCUCAGAUGGUAAAGAAUCUGCCUGCAAUGCAGGAGACCUGGGUUCGAUCCCUGGAUUGGGAA
This 72-nucleotide transfer RNA is filed under the name Bos taurus (domestic cattle). It matches the Rfam family "tRNA". From Rfam's summary of the family: Transfer RNA (tRNA) molecules are approximately 80 nucleotides in length. Their secondary structure includes four short double-helical elements and three loops (D, anti-codon, and T loops). The record is from Rfam by way of RNAcentral. RNAcentral also lists the same sequence under 3 other names. Lineage: Eukaryota; Metazoa; Chordata; Mammalia; Artiodactyla; Bovidae.